RNAcentral lists this ribosomal RNA (465 nucleotides) under uncultured bacterium. Its description in RNAcentral is "bacterial SSU rRNA". It matches the Rfam family "Bacterial small subunit ribosomal RNA", at positions 338 to 795 of the family's 1533-position model. The record is from RNAcentral.
CCUACGGGGUGCAGCAGUAGGGAAUCUUCCACAAUGGACGAAAGUCUGAUGGAGCAACGCCGCGUGAGUGAUGAAGGUUUUCGGAUCGUAAAACUCUGCUGUAAGGGAAGAACAAGUACGUUAGGAAAUGAACGUACCUUGACGGUACCUUAUUAGAAAGCCACGGCUAACUACGUGCCAGCAGCCGCGGUAAUACGUAGGUGGCAAGCGUUGUCCGGAUUUAUUGGGCGUAAAGCGUGCGCAGGUGGUUUCUUAAGUCUGAUGUGAAAUCUCGCGGCUCAACCGCGAGCGGUCAUUGGAAACUGGGGAACUUGAGUGCAGAAGAGGAUAGUGGAAUUCCAAGUGUAGCGGUGAAAUGCGUAGAGAUUUGGAGGAACACCAGUGGCGAAGGCGACUGUCUGGUCUGUAACUGACACUGAGGCGCGAAAGCGUGGGGAGCAAACAGGAUUAGAUACCCGUGUAGUC